This 403-nucleotide ribosomal RNA is filed under the name uncultured bacterium. Its description in RNAcentral is "partial 16S ribosomal RNA". It matches the Rfam family "Bacterial small subunit ribosomal RNA", at positions 29 to 526 of the family's 1533-position model. The record is from RNAcentral.
AUUGAACGCUGGCGGCAGGCCUAACACAUGCAAGUCGAGCGAGCGGCGGACGGGGGAGUAAUGUAUGGGGACUGCCCGAUAGAGGGGGAUAACUACUGGAAACGGUAGCUAAUACCGCAUACUAUCGGAUAACCCAUAGGGGAUUAGCUAGUUGGUGGGGGAAAGGCUCACCUAGGCGACGAUCUCUAGCUGGUCUGAGAGGAUGAUCAGCAACACUGGGACGGAGACACGGCCCAGACUCCUACGGAGGCAGAAGUGUGGAAUAUUGAACAAUGGGUGCAAGCCUGAUGCAGCGACGCCGAGGGGGGGAUGAAGGCUUUAGGGUUGUAAACCUCUUUCGCUAUCGAACGGGUAGGUGGAGAAGAAGCGCCGGCUAACUACGUGCCAGCAGCCGCGGUAAUUC